CCUGGUGGCUCAGAUGGUAAAGAAUCUGCCUGCAACGCAGGAGACCCGGGUUUGAUCCCUGGGCCAGGA
RNAcentral lists this transfer RNA (69 nucleotides) under Bos taurus (domestic cattle). It matches the Rfam family "tRNA". From Rfam's summary of the family: Transfer RNA (tRNA) molecules are approximately 80 nucleotides in length. Their secondary structure includes four short double-helical elements and three loops (D, anti-codon, and T loops). Further hydrogen bonds mediate the characteristic L-shaped molecular structure. tRNAs have two regions of fundamental functional importance: the anti-codon, which is responsible for specific mRNA codon recognition, and the 3' end, to which the tRNAs corresponding amino acid is attached (by aminoacyl-tRNA synthetases). tRNAs cope with the degeneracy of the genetic code in two manners: having more than one tRNA (with a specific anti-codon) for a particular amino acid; and 'wobble' base-pairing, i.e. permitting non-standard base-pairing at the 3rd anti-codon position. Lineage: Eukaryota; Metazoa; Chordata; Mammalia; Artiodactyla; Bovidae. The record is from Rfam by way of RNAcentral. RNAcentral also lists the same sequence under 3 other names.